Molecule: non-coding RNA, 115 nt
Filed under: unclassified sequences
Description: FMN sequence
Rfam family: FMN riboswitch aptamer (RFN element)
About the family: The RFN element is a highly conserved domain that is found frequently in the 5'-untranslated regions of prokaryotic mRNAs that encode for flavin mononucleotide (FMN) biosynthesis and transport proteins.
Source: RNAcentral
AACAUUCUUCGGAAAUGGGAAAUGACCCUACCGGCGGUAAAGCCCGCGAGCGAUUUUUCGCAGAAUUCAGUUAAAGUCUGAAGCCGACAGUAAGUCUGGAUGGGAGAAGAUGGCU